This 253-nucleotide ribosomal RNA is filed under the name uncultured bacterium. Its description in RNAcentral is "partial 16S ribosomal RNA". It matches the Rfam family "Bacterial small subunit ribosomal RNA", at positions 524 to 776 of the family's 1533-position model. The record is from RNAcentral.
UACGGAGGGGGCUAGCGUUGUUCGGAAUUACUGGGCGUAAAGGGCUCGUAGGUGGCCAACUAAGUCGGACGUGAAAUCCCUCAGCUUAACUGGGGAACUGCGUCCGAUACUGGAUGGCUCGAGUUUGGGAGAGGGAUGCGGAAUUCCAGGUGUAGCGGUGAAAUGCGUAGAUAUCUGGAGGAACACCGGUGGCGAAGGCGGCAUCCUGGACCAACACUGACACUGAGGAGCGAAAGCCAGGGGAGCAAACGGG